Molecule: ribosomal RNA, 486 nt
Filed under: uncultured bacterium
Lineage: Bacteria
Description: partial 16S ribosomal RNA
Rfam family: Bacterial small subunit ribosomal RNA
Source: RNAcentral
GAUGAACGCUAGCGGCAGGCUUAACACAUGCAAGUCGAGGGGCAGCGCGGGAUAGCAAUAUCCUGGCGGCGACCGGCGGAAGGGUGCGUAACGCGUGAGCGACAUGCCCGUUGCCCGGGGACAACCGGUGGAAACGCCGACUAAUCCCCGAUGGGAUAUUGUGCCGCAUGGCACGAUAUUGAAAGUUACGGCGGCGACGGAUUGGCUCGCGUCCGAUUAGCUUGUUGGCGGGGUAACGGCCCACCAAGGCUGCGAUCGGUAGGGGUUCUGAGAGGAAGGCCCCCCACAAGGGGACUGAGACACGGCCCAUACUCCUACGGGAGGCAGCAGUGAGGAAUAUUGGUCAAUGGGCGGAAGCCUGAACCAGCCAUGCCGCGUGCGGGAAGGAGGCCCUAUGGGCUGUGAACCGCUUUUGCCUGGGGGCAAUAAGGGCGUCGCGCACGUCCGAUGAGAGUACCAGGCGAAUAAGCAUCGGCUAACUCCGUG